This 503-nucleotide ribosomal RNA is filed under the name uncultured bacterium. Its description in RNAcentral is "partial 16S ribosomal RNA". It matches the Rfam family "Bacterial small subunit ribosomal RNA", at positions 30 to 523 of the family's 1533-position model. The record is from RNAcentral.
AUUGAACGCUGGCGGCAGGCCUAACACAUGCAAGUCGAACGGUAGCACAGAGAGCUUGCUCUCGGGUGACGAGUGGCGGACGGGUGAGUAACGUCUGGGAAACUGCCCGAUGGAGGGGGGUAACUACUGGAAACGGUAGCUAAUACCGCAUAACGUCGCAAGACCAAAGUGGGGGACCUUCGGGCCUCACACCAUCGGAUGUGCCCAGAUGGAUUAGCUAGUAGGUGGGGUAAUGGCUCACCUAGGCGACGAUCCCUAGCUGGUCUGAGAGGAUGACCAGCCACACUGGAACUGCGACACGGUCCAGACUCCUACGGGAGGCAGCAGUGGGGAAUAUUGCACAAUGGGCGCAAGCCUGAUGCAGCCAUGCCGCGUGUAUGAAGAAGGCCUUCGGGUUGUAAAGUACUUUCAGCGGGGAGGAAGGCGGUGAAGUUAAUAACUUCACCGAUUGACGUUACCCGCAGAAGAAGCACCGGCUAACUCCGUGCCAGCAGCCGCGGUAA